This 582-nucleotide long non-coding RNA is filed under the name Malus domestica (apple). RNAcentral describes it as "long non-coding RNA (MDOM_LNC012152)". The record is from RNAcentral. Lineage: Eukaryota; Viridiplantae; Streptophyta; Magnoliopsida; Rosales; Rosaceae.
UUUAAUCCCACAAAUUAUGGUUUUUUAUUUAAAAUCUCAUUUAUAUAAACAACUAAAAUUUCUAAUUUUUUAUUUAAAAAAUAUAGUAACUUACAUAGAAAUAAAUUAUCACAUUAAUUUCAGGGAUCUCAAUAAAAAAUUAAAAACCAACAAGGUUUCAAUCAAAGAAUAUUCAUAACUAAGGACCGCAUCUAAAGUCUCCCUUAAUUUAAUCACCUUACAGAAUUAUUGUGUUUUCAGUAUAACAGAGAUUAUUUAAGUUGAUAGAUUAGACUACCAUAAGAUUAAUCGGAUGACUCAUAUAAAAAAGGACCUCACAAGUCCUCAAAGUAAAGACAUUAGAAGAGCACUCCUGCAUAUAAAGUAGGCAAGAAUCGAACCUUUAACUUAUUCUAAUCAUCGCAUCAUCUCUCUGUUUGGGUUAAUAUUUAACUUUGGGCUUAGAAGAGAGAAAGCCCAAAAGAGUUCAAUAAAAGGAGUUUCUGCCCAAAGCCUAGCACCAAGUCCAGAUGUCCACUUUAAGACAACAUGAUGGCUCUUGAUUAAAUGCAAAGAUUAGGUGCUUACAAAGGAAGUGACAAC